CUUAUCAAGUUGAAACAUUGGUUCCCCUACGAUCACCGAAGUUAAACAACGUCGAACCUGGUCAGUACCGAGAUGGGUGACCACUAUGGAAUGACAGAUGCAGUA
Molecule: non-coding RNA, 105 nt
Organism: Acanthosepion pharaonis
Lineage: Eukaryota; Metazoa; Mollusca; Cephalopoda; Sepiida; Sepiidae
Source: the annotation of a GenBank genome assembly